CUUGCAUAUAAUUUUCAAGAAAAUGAUUAUAACUAUGUUUCUUGAAUAAUUCCACAUUAGGACAUUUUUUUAUUUCGAGUGGUAAAUUAUUCCAUACUUUGGUUGCAGAAUAAUGAAAAGAUUUUUUAUAAAAAUUUGUAUUUGGUCUUGGAACAAAAAGAUCAUUAUUAGAGACAGAUCGUAAGUUGUGGCGUUGCACAUCAUCAAUAUUUAGUAUUGCUAAGUAAUCAGGUGUUAGCCCAUUUAUAAUUUUAUACAUUAGAAUUGAUUGUUGGUAUUUUAUUCUUUUGGUAAAAGAUAGCCAUUUUAAAGAAGAAAACAUGAAAUUAGAUGGAAUAGAAAUAUCGCAUUCCAGUAUAAUUCUUGCUACUCUUUUUU
RNAcentral lists this long non-coding RNA (378 nucleotides) under Mytilus galloprovincialis (Mediterranean mussel). Lineage: Eukaryota; Metazoa; Mollusca; Bivalvia; Mytilida; Mytilidae. The record is from RNAcentral.